This 5359-nucleotide long non-coding RNA is filed under the name Medicago truncatula (barrel medic). RNAcentral describes it as "long non-coding RNA (MTRU_LNC004852)". The record is from RNAcentral. Lineage: Eukaryota; Viridiplantae; Streptophyta; Magnoliopsida; Fabales; Fabaceae.
UUGACAAGCAUAAAUUCCCGACGUCAUUCGAGUUUUUCAAGAAGGCUCUUCCUUCAAAGAAACACAGGAUAAAGUCUCAACGCAAAAAGCCUUCUCAAAAGGAGGAUACUUCAGGAAUGAUGGAAGUGGAAAAUGCAGCUAUGGAUGACCUCGUUUCAGCAGUAUCUAGAUUAAAUACUUCAGACACCGCUCCUUCCUCUAUCAGCUUUGGUCGCCGUAACACCAAAGGCAUGUCAUUUGUCCCUCGAGCUGUUCAGCGUGGGAAGGGAUCUAACUCAGGCUCAUCUGUUACUAAGAAAUAAGCUUACACUUGAAUCAAUCUGCAUUAAUGUGAUUGCUUAAUCAUCAAUCUUCGGAUGCUGUCCCGUUGUAAAAUUGCUCGAUACCAGGGUUGAAGAUCAGAAAAUAGAAUCGUGCUGGAGGAUGUAAUAACAGCAUGCUUUUAUUAUGUAAGUGUCACUAACAUAGGUUUUGAGCCCAUGCAAAUUAUAUAUGCUAAUUAUGUGGAGUUUUUGAGUUUCUAUUUAGAGUGAUGUUGUUCUGUUUAGCUUAUAUUCUCUUUGGUGCAUAACAAGUCUGUUAUUAUAGUUGAAAGAAAUCACUCUUACAGCUUUUUGUAUGUUUGUCUGUCUUUGCAAAUAAAUACCAAGCUUUGCAAAUGGUGCCAUCUUCUUGUUGACAUUUAUUGUGAUUAAUACUCCUGUUAAUUUCAGCAUUCUUAUAUUCUUACAAGAGGUUACAACUAUACUACCUAAUAUGUGUCCAUUCUCAAAUUACUAUAUAUAUUUAUUAUUUUUUAAAUAUAUUCCUAAUUAAUAAGUAUUACUAAUUUAUUUUUCCUUCAAAAAAAAGUAUUACUAAUUUAUUUNGUUGAAACUAUAAACUCAAUCCAUCUAUUUGUUCUUAAUUAACUUAGUUUAAAAGUUUCAGGGAACAUGCAGUAGGUCUGUCUAUGCAUGUUUGACAACUUCUCGCUGCAUUGUUCUCUGAUCCUUCAACUUUGUCCAUGAAUAUCUCAUGGUUCAUUGACACUAUACUAAAUUUUUAUUAGCAAUAGCAACCUGUGAUGUUGCAAUGAUGUUUGUGAUAAUAUAUACAUUUUUCAAUUGAAUGGCACCAGUUAUUCCAAUAAACUCAAAAGUGAGAUUUAGAAAUUGCAUUAUGCUUUUCUUUGAUAAAUCGAUUCAAAGAAAAUCGUACAUAAAACUUUUUACCGCACAUUCAAGAUACAAAUGAAUUGAGGUCAAAUGACAACGUCAAUAUUAUUAGACUAAACACGUUCAUCCGAAAACCCGAGACUUUACCACCGGAGGAUUGGGUAGUUCAACAGAUUUGAGCUGAGAUUAAAAUGUUGAUGAGUUAAAAAUUGAGGCUUUAAAUUUUAACAAAAAGAAAUCAACUUUGCUAUAUCCUACAAACCGAAAAACAAGAAUACAUACAUAUACUUUAUUUAAUAAAAGUCAACAAAAAAAGUCAACCAAAAUUCAGGUGGUUUUCGUUGAAAGAUUAUUCGUAGGAAAAACAUAGUAACAUUUUGCAAUAAAAAAAUUAUUUUAGAGACACCUAAAAAGAACUUACUCAACUUAUGGGAACUAACUUUAACUGGUGUUUUUUUCGUGGUCGUUAAAUUUUAGUGUCAUGUUAACUUGCACCCUUAGGGCACAAGUUAACAUUUGCCAAUAAGAAAUAAAUCUUGUAUUAAAAAAUUUAAUUAUUAAACUUUUACAAUAUUGAAUGCACAAGUUCCAAGAAAAUACUUCUAUCCUUUUCCUUAGCUUUUGAACUUGUGUCUUAAAGGUACAAAUUAACAUUUCCUUAACUUGCGAUGUGUGUUUUAAUUGAAUUUGAAGAAUGCAGGGGCUCUUCAGCAAACUAAUGACCCGUAAAUAAACGGGUUACACCGUAUCCAUAAAUCCAAAUUUUCAUUCAAAAAAUUGAAACAAAUCCAAACUCAUUUUCUUUGUCAGAAUCACUUGUUCUUCUUCUUCUUUUUCUUCUUCUUCUUCUUGAACUAACCAUGGAAUUGGAAAAUCAAAAUCAGGAUUCAAAUUUUCCAUUCUGGAAACCCAUUUCUCGUAAGUUCCAACCUGAUUCACCUUUCUUCGCUAUCGGUAACCUCGAACGAGAACUUCUUGUCAAACAGGUUCUUAUUUUUAAUCUUCUUUUUUAUUUCAUUCAAACUGUUUCUUGUUUUAUGCUAUUUUUUUUUUUUUUUUAGUUUUUGUUUUGAAAUGAGAAUUGUAACUUGCGUUUUAAUUUGAGAAGGUUGCGUUGGAAUUUGAAUUAACACAAGAGAAGGAACAGCUUGAGGAUUUUAUACAAGAAGAUGGAAGGUAUUGAUGUUUUUUUUCUUCUUCAUAUUCUUAAUUGUAAUAGUAUUUGAAUUUAUAUUCUCGAUUAAUGUGGCUUAUAUGACCUCUCAAUUUCGGUUUUAAAAAAAUACAUUAUGAUUGUGCUCUAGUGGUUAAUAAGCUUCAGUUAAGAACGAAUCGAUCAGAGUAUAAUAUUAAGAGUCCCGUUUUCUCGAGAACUAGAAUAUUAAGAGUUAAGACCAAAAUAAUACUCCCUCCGGUCAUAUUUAUAAGCAACUUUUGCUUUUCCAGAUUCAUUAAAUAACUGAUGUAUCAAGAGUAUAAUACAGUCCAAAUACAUCGUUUGUUUAAUGAAUCGUAAGAAGUAAAUGUUGCUUAUAAAUGUGACCAGAAGGAGUACGCAUUAGAAUAAGGCGUGCUAAUUUAAUGCACUGUUAUUAGGUCCUACUCAAACUUCAGCUGAUGUUUGAUAGAAGUUGUUGAGAUCAUUACCCAUUGAGAACAGUUAAUGAUGGAUUGUUAUUUCUAGUUAUAGUACUUGCUUCUUAGUGAAAGACCUUUCUUAUAGUUCUUGANUGAAUUACAAAUGAAUAUUUAUUUUAGGCUACUGCUGAAAUAACAAUAACCUGAAAAUUGUACUUUAUUUGCAGAUAUUUUCUUCUUUCGGAAUAAGGAAGGAAGCAUAAGCUAUUCUCAGCCUCCGUGUCUUGUUGCAUGGAUGUUAGGAGUGUACUAAAACUACAAAAUUGUGGAAAUUUUUCAAGUGUUUUUCUUUAUGUCCAUACACUAUAAAGUGCAUCGUCUGAAUAUAUUUUAAAUCAAGCUUUCCAGUUUUAUGAAAGCUUCCUGUUUUGUUCAUAAUUUCAAAUAACUAUGUUUGCUUAUAACAUAAUUGUGACCUGACCAUUUUCUAUGAAGUUGAUUGAAGUAGAUAUUUGGUAAAUUUCAUGUUGAAUGAAAUACAGUUGUAAUUUGUUUUCUGUAUUUUAUAAUUAAAGCUAUACUUUGCAAACACCUUCUUCAAUGUUGUUAUUUGUUGAAACUAUAAACUCAAUCCAUCUAUUUGUUCUUAAUUAACUUAGUUUAAAAGUUUCAGGGAACAUGCAGUAGGUCUGUCUAUGCAUGUUUGAGAUCAUUACCCAUUGAGAACAGUUAAUGAUGGAUUGUUAUUUCUAGUUAUAGUACUUGCUUCUUAGUGAAAGACCUUUCUUAUAGUUCUUGAAAAUGUUUACUUUAUAUCUAUAAUCAUUUAUGUGGAAAAACAAAUUUUGAUUGGUGUUACCACAUUGUAUGUUUAAAAUAACGAUGAGUUUGACGAAAUCAUAAUGGCAUCGCGAUUUUGUUGAAGCUCCAAAGUGUAUCUUAUAUCAACAUAACGGUGACAUGUUGUAAUUUUGCCAAACUUACCGCGAAUUCAAACAUGGCCUCAUGUUUAUUGAAGAUUGUGAUUUUUCAUAGAAGUUAAUCUUUGGAUUUGAAUUUAUACUUAUAAAAUGGUAGCAUACACGCCUCAUUUUGAAACAUAUUGCUAUGUGCAGGGAAGUCUUCUGUCCCAUUGCUGGGUGUGGAGCGCGUUUGGCUUCAAUUGAGGAUUUUGAAAAUCACUAUUAUGCAAGACAUACUGCAUCCUGUUCUGUGUGUUCUAGAGUCUACCCCACAUAACGUUUGCUCAGCCUACAUGUAUCCGAAGCUCAUGAUUCUUUCUUUCAGGCAAAAGUUGCUCGUGGCUAUGACAUGGUAGUGUACAUGUCUAAACUCUGAAUAUGAUUUAAUUUAAUGACAUAGUAGUUGUAAGAUAUUCAAUUUCGCGUUUUGUUUCUUCAAAUAUCUUUACAGUGAAGUACUCAUGUUUUUUCCUACCUUAAUUUAAAAUCUUAAAGAUUGCAACAAGAAAGACCUUUUUUACAAUUUGGUCAUUUCAAACAAUGUUCAGAAUAUCUUUUUUCCUUUAUUACAUCCUUUCUGUCUUCUAUUUAAUUUAAUGUUUAGAGCUCAUAGUUGAGUUUGUUAGAAGGUAGAUCAAAGCAAAGAUAGUCCAUUAUUAGUUAGUGGUAAAGCGAAACCAGAGAAAACUAUAAGCCAACCCAUUAAGAAGGAUUUGGAAUCAAAUGUUCAGUCACUAGAGAAUUAAUAAUACACUCAAUCUUUGAUUUCAAAAUCAUUCCAAUAACCUUUCCACAAAAAGAAACGCCCAAACACACCACAUUCCAACAACCCAUGUUAUCUCUACGUAGUAACAAUCACCGUAAUAACUAAUAACAACCCAUGUUAAUGAAUUUCUUUCUUACGUCCUUUUUAUUUACUAUUUUAUUUUAUGUUUAAAGCUCAUAGUUGAGUUUGUCAGAAGGUAGACCAAAUGGAAGAUAGUCCAAUAGUAAGAGGUAAAGGGAAACCAUAGAAAGCUAUAGGUCAAAUCAUUAAGAAGGAUUUCAGAGUAAAUGGUCUAUCGUUAUAGAUAAUUAACGAUAUGGAUAUUAUGAUGUCAUUUGAUUCAUGUAACUAACCCCGAACUGAUGAGAAAAGGCUUUGAUCGCCUCUGUAGUUGUUCUUGUUGUGUAAUCAAAGCUAACUUAUUACUUUUUUGGAUUUACAUAUGAAUUUUCUCUAUUAGGUGACCCAUGACAAUCUCUAUAACAUGGUUCUUAUGUCUUUGUCAUAUAGUAUGAAUGCUUAGUGGAAGGUUGCGGUUUGAAAUUCAAAAGCUACAAAAGUAGGCAGCACCAUCUAGUUGACAAGCAUAAAUUCCCGACGUCAUUCGAGUUUUUCAAGAAGGCUCUUCCUUCAAAGAAACACAGGAUAAAGUCUCAACGCAAAAAGCCUUCUCAAAAGGAGGAUACUUCAGGAAUGAUGGAAGUGGAAAAUGCAGCUAUGGAUGACCUCGUUUCAGCAGUAUCUAGAUUAAAUACUUCAGACACCGCUCCUUCCUCUAUCAGCUUUGGUCGCCGUAACACCAAAGGCAUGUCAUUUGUCCCUCGAGCUGUUCAGCGUGGGAAGGGAUCUAACUCAGGCUCAUCUGUUACUAAGAAAUAAGCUUACACUUGAAUCAA